RNAcentral lists this ribosomal RNA (837 nucleotides) under Candida albicans. Its description in RNAcentral is "LSU rRNA". It matches the Rfam family "Eukaryotic large subunit ribosomal RNA", at positions 67 to 922 of the family's 3401-position model. Lineage: Eukaryota; Fungi; Ascomycota; Pichiomycetes; Serinales; Debaryomycetaceae. The record is from RNAcentral.
AACAGGGAUUGCCUCAGUAGCGGCGAGUGAAGCGGCAAAAGCUCAAAUUUGAAAUCUGGCGUCUUUGGCGUCCGAGUUGUAAUUUGAAGAAGGUAUCUUUGGGCCCGGCUCUUGUCUAUGUUCCUUGGAACAGGACGUCACAGAGGGUGAGAAUCCCGUGCGAUGAGAUGACCCGGGUCUGUGUAAAGUUCCUUCGACGAGUCGAGUUGUUUGGGAAUGCAGCUCUAAGUGGGUGGUAAAUUCCAUCUAAAGCUAAAUAUUGGCGAGAGACCGAUAGCGAACAAGUACAGUGAUGGAAAGAUGAAAAGAACUUUGAAAAGAGAGUGAAAAAGUACGUGAAAUUGUUGAAAGGGAAGGGCUUGAGAUCAGACUUGGUAUUUUGCAUGUUGCUCUCUCGGGGGCGGCCGCUGCGGUUUACCGGGCCAGCAUCGGUUUGGAGCGGCAGGAUAAUGGCGGAGGAAUGUGGCACGGCUUCUGCUGUGUGUUAUAGCCUCUGACGAUACUGCCAGCCUAGACCGAGGACUGCGGUUUUUACCUAGGAUGUUGGCAUAAUGAUCUUAAGUCGCCCGUCUUGAAACACGGACCAAGGAGUCUAACGUCUAUGCGAGUGUUUGGGUGUAAAACCCGUACGCGUAAUGAAAGUGAACGAAGGUGGGGGCCCAUUAGGGUGCACCAUCGACCGAUCCUGAUGUGUUCGGAUGGAUUUGAGUAAGAGCAUAGCUGUUGGGACCCGAAAGAUGGUGAACUAUGCCUGAAUAGGGUGAAGCCAGAGGAAACUCUGGUGGAGGCUCGUAGCGGUUCUGACGUGCAAAUCGAUCGUCGAAUUUGGGUAUAGGG